GGCGAACGCUGGCGGCAUGCCUAAUACAUGCAAGUCGAGCGGAGUUGAUGAGAAGCUUGCUUCUCUGAUACUUAGCGGCGGACGGGUGAGUAACACGUAGGCAACCUGCCCCCAAGCUUGGGACAACUACCGGAAACGGUAGCUAAUACCGAAUACUUGUUUUCUUCGCCUGAAGGAAACUGGAAAGACGGAGCAAUCUGUCACUUGGGGAUGGGCCUGCGGCGCAUUAGCUAGUUGGUGAGGUAACGGCUCACCAAGGCGACGAUGCGUAGCCGACCUGAGAGGGUGAUCGGCCACACUGGGACUGAGACACGGCCCAGACUCCUACGGGAGGCAGCAGUAGGGAAUCUUCCGCAAUGGGCGAAAGCCUGACGGAGCAAUGCCGCGUGAGUGAUGAAGGUUUUCGGAUCGUAAAGCUCUGUUGCCAGGGAAGAACGCUUGGGAGAGUAACUGCUCCCAAGGUGACGGUACCUGAGAAGAAAGCACCGGCUAACUACGUGCCAGCAGCCGCCGUAA
This 516-nucleotide ribosomal RNA is filed under the name uncultured bacterium. Its description in RNAcentral is "partial 16S ribosomal RNA". It matches the Rfam family "Bacterial small subunit ribosomal RNA", at positions 28 to 523 of the family's 1533-position model. The record is from RNAcentral.